This 468-nucleotide ribosomal RNA is filed under the name uncultured bacterium. Its description in RNAcentral is "partial 16S ribosomal RNA". It matches the Rfam family "Bacterial small subunit ribosomal RNA", at positions 28 to 507 of the family's 1533-position model. The record is from RNAcentral.
GACGAACGCUGGCGGCGUGCUUAACACAUGCAAGUCGAACGGAAAGGCCCUGCUUUUGUGGGGUGCUCGAGUGGCGAACGGGUGAGUAACACGUGAGUAACCUGCCCUUGACUUUGGGAUAACUUCAGGAAACUGGGGCUAAUACUGGAUAGGAGCUCCUGCGGCAUGGGGGGGGUGGGAAAGUUUCGGCGGUUGGGGAUGGACUCGCGGCUUAUCAGCUUGUUGGUGGGGUAGUGGCUUACCAAGGCUUUGACGGGUAGCCGGCCUGAGAGGGUGACCGGCCACAUUGGGACUGAGAUACGGCCCAGACUCCUACGGGAGGCAGCAGUGGGGAAUAUUGCACAAUGGGCGGAAGCCUGAUGCAGCAACGCCGCGUGCGGGAUGACGGCCUUCGGGUUGUAAACCGCUUUCGCCUGUGACGAAGCGUGAGUGACGGUAAUGGGUAAAGAAGCACCGGCUAACUACGUG